This is a long non-coding RNA of Anguilla rostrata (American eel), 2551 nucleotides long. RefSeq lists it as uncharacterized. The record is from RefSeq and is a predicted model, not a curated record. The transcript has 2 exons. NCBI's taxonomy places the organism in Eukaryota, Metazoa, Chordata, Actinopteri, Anguilliformes, Anguillidae.
UCUGGAUAAGAGCGUCUGCUAAAUGCCUGUAAUCUCAUCUUCCUGUUCUUAUCUGACUGAUGCCCAUCCAUUUCAAGGUUUGAAGUGUUGUGCAUUCAGAGGUGCCUUUGUACACACCACUGUUGUAAAAAAAAGUUGUUAUUUGAGCAUUUCUGGCCUUUCUGUUAGCUUGAAUGAGUCUGUACAUUUUCCUCCGAUGUCUUUCAUUAGCAAGGUGUUUUCUGCCACAGAUCUGCUGCUCACUGGGUGUUUUUUGUUUAUCGCACCAUUCUCUGUAAACUCUAGAGACAAGUGCAUAAAAAUUCCAGGAGAGCAGUUGUUUCUGAGAUGCUGGAACCGCCGUGUUUGCCACUAACGAUCAUACCACAGUCAAAGCCGCCUAGAUCACAAAUCUUUCCCAUUCCAAUGUUUGGUCGAACAACAGCUAAACUUCUUCACCAUGUCUGCAUGCUUUAUACAUUGAGUUGCAGCCACGUGAUUAACUGUUACGAGGAGUAAGCUAUUGGCGUUAACAAGCAGGUGUACGUAGUAAAGAGGCCAGUGAGUAUAAAAAAUGCCAAAAACAAAAAUCCAAAAUCGAACUGGGAGCACACGAUUGGUUCUCGGGAGCCAGACUCUCAUGCUAGUGAAGUAGUUGGUGGGCUGCAAAGUUUUGUUCUUUUAAACGUGUAAACUUCUGUUGUCCAAUUUGAGUGCGUAUCUAAUGUUUUUAUUGGCUGGUAUACCUACAUGUCCAAUAGGGAGGCAUAUUCUCUGUGGGCCUAGAGCAUUUGUGAUGUUGUAAUUGGCAGGAAAAAGAAGAAGAAGAAGAAAAAACUUGAAAUCCCCAAAGUUAGAGGCUUUAUUAUGUGGACGUGUGAAGUUGCUUGUGAAUUCUGUCUGUUGACAUGAAGAGAGAGUCUGUGGUCAUUGUGGUUAUUUCUGUAGGGAACCCUGAAAAGUGCCAAACUCUCGGUGCUGUAUAGGUAUGGGGCAUGCUACCCCACCAAAGCGUAACCUGGCGUGAUGGCAUAACCAUGUCAAUAUACCUCAUUUUCCCUUUAUUUUGGCAGUUACAUGCACAUUACAGUACCUUCAUUCAUGUGUGUUCACUGUUAAUAUCUACAUCACUGUCAUUAGCAUGGCUUCUGUCUCUCACUUGUUAUUGCCUGUCUCUCAUAAUGGUCUCUACUGAAUACAUUUAUACAUGCAUACUGUACAUUCUAUCACAUUUAUGCUGUUGUGAUUGUUGUGUUUUUCAGACCUACAAGAGCAUUAAGGAAAGGUAUGUGGACUCUUACCUCAUUUCGUAUUGUCUGUUUAAGUCACUUCAAACCCCAAAGCCUGAGUGACUCCUGCUUGUCAUUACAGAGCCCAGUGCACACUGCAGAAUCCAGAGCUACUCUCAGGGGCACUGAUAGAUGUGGCCAAACAGCUGGGCAACCUGAAGUUCAGAGUCUGGGAGAAGGUGCUGGGGGUGGUGCAGUACACUCCUGUGGUGCUGGACCCCAAUACUGUACAUACCCAAGUCUCUCUCUCUGAUGAUCUGACCACUGUGAUACACACAGGUACAGACCAGAAAUAUCCUGACAACCCAGAGAGGUUUAGCAGGUGUGUGAAUGUGCUGGGAUCUGAGGGGUUUACCUCAGGGAAACACAGCUGGGAGGUGAAGGUUGGGAAUAAACCUGAGUGGGAUAUAGGAGUGGUGAAAGAGUCCAUCAGUAGGAAGGGAAGUAUAACAUGCAGCCCAGAGAGAGGAUUCUGGGUCUUAAUGCUGAGGAAUGGUGAUAAGUACAGUGCAUCUGGAGGUACUGACCUCACGCUGAAAAGGAAGCCCCAGAGCAUCAGAGUGCAGCUGGAAUAUGACAGGGGGAAGGUGUCCUUCUUCGACUCCAGUGACAUGUCACUCAUUUACACUUUUAAAGACACAUUUACUGAGAGAGUGUUCCCAUUCUUCUGUCCCUGUUUGAAAAAAGAUAAAAAUGAAGGACCCCUGCAGAUAUGCCCAGUGAAAGUUUCUGUAACAGUUAUGUCAUCCCAUUGAAGGUGUUUUAAAAAAAAGAACAAACUACAUGUACUGGAAGAGUAUUAUAGAGGAAAUCCAUAUUACUCUAUACCUAUUAUGUUCCUCUAUAAUGAUUAUAAUUUUUUCAUUUUCAUUUUCUUUUCAUCAUUAAUAAUUUAGUUGAGAUUUAUCAUUGAUAAUGUACAUAUACAGGUAGUAUCUUCUGGGUUUUGUUUUGUACCAAAUCAUUAGAAAAAAUUAUUUCAUAUCAUUUUUGCUCAUAAAGUAGAUGUGCACCUGUAGUGUAGUCAAAUACCUUUAUAUUUGAUUAAAGUCAUUCCUAUUUAGCUGGGUUUAUAAGGUAGUGUAGAAGCUUGAAAUGUGUGAGUAUAGUGAGUGUUUGUUAGUUUGAUUCCAUCCGUCCUCCUGUGUUCUUUUCAGAUUUUACUUUGCAAUUCACCCUGUCAGUACAAUGCUGUAGGAUUUACUGUACAUCUGGGCCUUAAGUGCCCUUAGCUGCAAACUUCAACCAUGAUUAAAUUAUUGCCAUUGGCAAAUAAUGACAAA